UACGUAGGCAGCGAGCGUUGUUCGGAGUUACUGGGCGUAAAGAGUGCGUAGGCGGUUUUCUAAGUUUGGUGUGAAAUCUCCCGGCUUAACUGGGAGGGUGCGGCGGAAACUGGGGUGCUUGAGCGCGGGAGAGGAAAGCGGAAUUCCUGGUGUAGCGGUGAAAUGCGUAGAUAUCAGGAGGAACACCUGUGGUGUAGACGGCUUUCUGGACCGUAGCUGACGCUGAGACACGAAAGCGUGGGCAGCAAACAGG
This 253-nucleotide ribosomal RNA is filed under the name uncultured bacterium. RNAcentral describes it as "partial 16S ribosomal RNA". It matches the Rfam family "Bacterial small subunit ribosomal RNA", at positions 524 to 776 of the family's 1533-position model. The record is from RNAcentral.